AGAGUUUGAUCCUGGCUCAGAUUGAACGCUGGCGGCAUGCCUUACACAUGCAAGUCGAACGGUAGCGGGCCUUCGGGUGCCGACGAGUGGCGAACGGGUGAGUAAUGUAUCGGAACGUACCUUUCAGUGGGGGAUAACGUAGCGAAAGUUACGCUAAUACCGCAUAUUCUGUGAGCAGGAAAGCAGGGGAUCGCAAGACCUUGCGCUGAUUGAGCGGCCGAUAUCAGAUUAGCUAGUUGGUGAGGUAAAGGCUCACCAAGGCGACGAUCUGUAGCGGGUCUGAGAGGAUGAUCCGCCACACUGGAACUGAGACACGGUCCAGACUCCUACGGGAGGCAGCAGUGGGGAAUUUUGGACAAUGGGGGCAACCCUGAUCCAGCCAUGCCGCGUGAGUGAAGAAGGCCUUCGGGUUGUAAAGCUCUUUCGGCCGGGGAAGAAAUCGCAUGGGUUAAAUACCCUGUGCGGAUGACGGAACCGGCAAA
Molecule: ribosomal RNA, 482 nt
Filed under: uncultured bacterium
Lineage: Bacteria
Description: bacterial SSU rRNA
Rfam family: Bacterial small subunit ribosomal RNA
Source: RNAcentral